GGGGGCGUACUGGAUAUCGACCAGUUGAAUACGUUCUCGAUUGCAUGCCGAGGAUGGCUCGUUUCCUCGUAAAACCAUCGGACCAAAAACAUAACUGCCAACGAAGAAUUGGCCCUCGCGGCAUAACCCCGCGACGUCUGUCCCUGGACACCUGCUAGGGGGAACAGGCGCCGAAAGCAGGAUAGGUUGAGACCGGGGACGGCGCGUGCCUCGACCGAAACAAACCCA
This 228-nucleotide transfer-messenger RNA is filed under the name Verrucomicrobiota bacterium. RNAcentral's name for it is "partial transfer-messenger RNA". It matches the Rfam family "transfer-messenger RNA", at positions 1 to 248 of the family's 374-position model. Rfam says of the family: Bacterial tmRNA, also known as 10Sa RNA or SsrA, is named for its dual tRNA and mRNA-like properties. Its role is to liberate the mRNA from a stalled ribosome. To accomplish this part of the tmRNA is used as a reading frame that ends in a translation stop signal. Lineage: Bacteria; Pseudomonadati; Verrucomicrobiota. The record is from RNAcentral.